GACGAACGCUGGCGGCGUGCCUAAUACAUGCCAGUAGAACGCACAGUUUAUACCGUAGCUUGCUACACCAUAAACUGUGAGUUGCGAACGGGUGAGUAACGCGUAGGUAACCUGCCUGGUAGCGGGGGAUAACUAUUGGAAACGAUAGCUAAUACCGCAUAAUAUUGAUUAUUGCAUGAUAAUUGAUUGAAAGAUUCUAUUGCAUCACUACCAGAUCGAUCUGCGUUGUAUUAGCUAGUAGGUGAGGUAACCGAUCACCUAGGCGACGAGACAUAGCCGACCUGAGAGGGUGAUCGGCCACACUGGGACUGAGACACGGCCCAGACUCCUACGGGAGGCAGCAGGAGGGAAUCUUCGGCAAUGGACGAAAGUCUGACCGAGCAACGCCGCGUGAGUGAAGAAGGGUUUCGGAUCGUAAAGCUCUGUUGUAAGAGAAGAACGGGUGUGAGAGUGGAAAGUUCACACUGUGACGGUAUCUUACCAGAAAGGGACGGCUAACUACGUG
RNAcentral lists this ribosomal RNA (505 nucleotides) under uncultured bacterium. Its description in RNAcentral is "partial 16S ribosomal RNA". It matches the Rfam family "Bacterial small subunit ribosomal RNA", at positions 28 to 507 of the family's 1533-position model. The record is from RNAcentral.